This 497-nucleotide ribosomal RNA is filed under the name uncultured bacterium. RNAcentral's name for it is "partial 16S ribosomal RNA". It matches the Rfam family "Bacterial small subunit ribosomal RNA", at positions 28 to 507 of the family's 1533-position model. The record is from RNAcentral.
GAUGAACGCUGGCGGCGUGCCUAAUACAUGCAAGUCGAGCGAAAAGACGAGGAGCUUGCUCCUCGGACGUUAGCGGCGGACGGGUGAGUAACACGUGGAUAACCUACCUGUAAGACUGGGAUAACUUCGGGAAACCGGAGCUAAUAGCGGAUAAUAUAUUGAACCGCAUGGUUCAAUAGUGAAAGACGGUGUUGCUGGCACGUAUAGAUGGAUCCGCGCCGCAUUAGCUAGUUGGUAAGGUAACGGCUUACCAAGGCAAGGAUGCGUAGCCGAACUGAGAGGGUGAUCGGCCACACUGGAACUGGGACACGGUCCAGGCUCCUACGGGAGGCACCAGUAGGGAAUCUUCCGCAAUGGGCGAAAGCCUGACGGAGCGACGCCGCGUGAGUGAUGAAGAUCUUCGGAUCGUAAAACUCUGUUAUUAGGGAAGAACAAAUGUGUAAGUAACUAUGCACGUCUUGACGGUACCUAAUCAGAAAGCCACGGCUAACUACGUG